GAUGAACGCUGGCGGCGUGCUUAACACAUGCAAGUCGAACGGAAAGGCCCAAGCUUGCUUGGGUACUCGAGUGGCGAACGGGUGAGUAACACGUGGGUGAUCUGCCCUGCACUUCGGGAUAAGCCUGGGAAACUGGGUCUAAUACCGGAUAGGACCACAUUUUGGAUGGUGUGGUGGAAAGUUUUUCGGUGUGGGAUGAGCUCGCGGCCUAUCAGCUUGUUGGUGGGGUAAUGGCCUACCAAGGCGUCGACGGGUAGCCGGCCUGAGAGGGUGUACGGCCACAUUGGGACUGAGAUACGGCCCAGACUCCUACGGGAGGCAGCAGUGGGGAAUAUUGCACAAUGGGCGCAAGCCUGAUGCAGCGACGCCGCGUGGGGGAUGACGGCCUUCGGGUUGUAAACUCCUUUCGCUAGGGACGAAGCGCUUUUGUGACGGUACCUGGAGAAGAAGCACCGGCUAACUACGUG
Molecule: ribosomal RNA, 467 nt
Filed under: uncultured bacterium
Lineage: Bacteria
Description: partial 16S ribosomal RNA
Rfam family: Bacterial small subunit ribosomal RNA
Source: RNAcentral